Carassius gibelio (silver crucian carp) is the source of this 1431-nucleotide long non-coding RNA. RefSeq lists it as uncharacterized. The record is from RefSeq and is a predicted model, not a curated record. NCBI's taxonomy places the organism in Eukaryota, Metazoa, Chordata, Actinopteri, Cypriniformes, Cyprinidae. The transcript is spliced from 2 exons.
AUAUAUAUAAUUUAGCAUUGUGAUUAUAGUUAUAUAACUAUUGUAAUUCGUGACUUAUCCAAAUUGUCUGUAAAAUGAUGUUUGUUUCUGUAGAUUUGAGGGAAAGAUUAAAAACAAGGAGGUCUGGGAAUGACUGAAGGGAUCUGACAGCAGUGAGGGAAGGAAGUUAUCACCAGAAUCCUUGGUGAGUAGAAGAGACUUCUCUUGAAAACCAUAAAGAAAAGAUUCCAGGAUGAAGAGGAGGAGGAAGAACACGUUUAACAAUUUUCUAUAAGCUUGCCAUUAGUUAUAAUAAAAACAAUGAACAUGACUACAAUAAUAUGCUAAAUGUUAUUAAAAGAUUCCAGUUUGCAAGAAGUCUGAGUGUCUGACUCUACACUAGAGGAACUCUUUUCUGAAGAAGAUCAGGUGCUGAGAAGAAGCCUUGUUCUACAGCAAAACACUGCAUCAAACCUCCUGUCCUUCCCUCAGAAGAGCCUGUCUUCUGCUGCUGGGGUAAGAAACACCCUCUUCCUCUUCUCUAUCAGCUGUCCUGCACCUAACUCUGCCUCCUCAGCACUGUCUGAAAGAGUCAUCUCCACAGUCAGUAAUCACAGAUUCUUCUGAGAAAGUCGAUAUGUUCAUUUUCUUAAAAAACUUUGUUUUUUCGGGUGGGACAAAUAAUACAGGAGAGAUGCUAGAAAUCUCUAUAUUGUUCAUUUUUCAUAUCUUUACGCUUUAUGAAUGUUUUUCUUCUGAGAAGCUCAAAAAUUAUGGUUCUUUGGUAAUUGCUUUAUUGUUUAGGUUUAUCCUCUGAUAGUGAGCACAGAGCCCUGAUCAUGACAUGCAAGAAAAAGAAAGAAAUCAUGUCCAUGAUUUACUAAUUCAUUCCCUCUAUGUACUAAAACGUGCACGAUUACUUUUACAUUUCAUUGAUUUGCUAAAUCGUAUGCACAAUUUACUAAUUCGUUCUCUUGAUGUAUAAAUAGUGUACACGUUUUAGCAAAUCGAGGGAAUGAAAUAUAAAAUCGUGCGCAUGAAUUAGCCUAAAUUUUUUCCUGCAUGUCGUGUAAUUAAAGCACAUCACCACCAGACAUUUAUACCAGGAGCCUCAUAUACGACGCUCACAGUUUUACUUUGUGCAGUAUCUCUGUGCAGUAUCUGCUGAAUUGUUUCAUAUCUAUUUAUCAUGUAUUUUUCGUUGCACUAAAUUAUGUUGUAUCAAUAAGUUUACUGAUAAUUAUUUUUAAUUUUCACUAAUAACGUCAUUAACCAUCUCCCCAUCUUUAAGACAAAAAUUCUCUAUUGUUUAUAUUGUGUAAUCUAUGAAUUGAUGUGUUUAGUUUUCUGUGCUCAUAACUUAGUAACAUUUUGCAUGGUUAAAGAACAGGUGCGAUGUUCAAAAUGUUUUUAUACAAAGUAGUGCUGAAUAAAUAUUGAUUUGUGAAUGAA